AUUCUUCAUACCUUCCCUUAUAUAGAGAGAGAGAGGUUGGCAAAGAUAAGAAGUUAUAACCAGAAAUUUUAUUUGGACUCCUAACCACAUAUGACUCUUUUAAAAUCCAAAUAUCCUAAUUGACCAACUAAACAACUUGCCAACUAUAGCUUGGCCACUCGUGGAAACCCUUCUUGGCGUGCGGAUUGGAGCCUAGGAAGAAAGGAGUCAUCCGCAAGCAAGAGUCCUACUUCGAGUGGUAUUCCUUUUUACUGCAUAAGAUCAAGUCCUAAUGUGAUUAGGACUCUCUCCUUUAUGAUACAUGGCCACUCCUACAUAACCAAUGACCCAUUUA
RNAcentral lists this long non-coding RNA (334 nucleotides) under Phoenix dactylifera (date palm). RNAcentral's name for it is "long non-coding RNA (PDAC_LNC008802)". Lineage: Eukaryota; Viridiplantae; Streptophyta; Magnoliopsida; Arecales; Arecaceae. The record is from RNAcentral.